GAACGGGAAAGUGGAGCAAUCCAUGAGUAUAGUGGCGACCGGGUGAGUAACACGUGACUAACCUGCCCUUGAGUGGGGGAUAACCUCGGGAAACCGGGGCUAAUACCGCAUAACAUCUUCAGGAUGAGAAGCUGGAGAUCAAAGGAGCAAUCCGCUUAUGGAGGGGGUCGCGGCUGAUUAGCUAGUUGGCGGGGUAACGGCCCACCAAGGCGAUGAUCGGUAUCCGGCCUGAGAGGGCGCACGGACACACUGGAACUGAAACACGGUCCAGACUCCUACGGGAGGCAGCAGUGGGGAAUUUUGCGCAAUGGGGGAAACCCUGACGCAGCAACGCCGCGUGGAGGAUGAAGUCCCUUGGGACGUAAACUCCUUUCGACCGGGACGAUUAUGACGGUACCGGUGGAAGAAGCCCCGGCUAACUUCGUG
RNAcentral lists this ribosomal RNA (426 nucleotides) under uncultured bacterium. RNAcentral's name for it is "bacterial SSU rRNA". It matches the Rfam family "Bacterial small subunit ribosomal RNA", at positions 64 to 507 of the family's 1533-position model. The record is from RNAcentral.